RNAcentral lists this ribosomal RNA (489 nucleotides) under uncultured bacterium. Its description in RNAcentral is "partial 16S ribosomal RNA". It matches the Rfam family "Bacterial small subunit ribosomal RNA", at positions 30 to 507 of the family's 1533-position model. The record is from RNAcentral.
UUGAACGCUGGCGGCAGGCCUAACACAUGCAAGUCGAACGGUAACAGCAAGCAGCUUGCUGCUUUGCUGACGAGUGGCGGACGGGUGAGUAAUGUCUGGGAAACUGCCUGAUGGAGGGGGAUAACUACUGGAAACGGUAGCUAAUACCGCAUAACGUCGCAAGACCAAAGAGGGGGACCUUCGGGCCUCUUGCCAUCGGAUGUGCCCAGAUGGGAUUAGCUAGUAGGUGGGGUAAAGGCUCACCUAGGCGACGAUCCCUAGCUGGUCUGAGAGGAUGACCAGCCACACUGGAACUGAGACACGGUCCAGACUCCUACGGGAGGCAGCAGUGGGGAAUAUUGCACAAUGGGCGCAAGCCUGAUGCAGCCAUGCCGCGUGUAUGAAGAAGGCCUUCGGGUUGUAAAGUACCUUCAGCGGGGAGGAAGGGAGUAAAGUUAAUACCUUUGCUCAUUGACGUUACCCGCAGAAGAAGCACCGGCUAACUCCGUG